GUUUUCUCAGUGUCUUCCCCAGUUGCAGCAAUAGCCUGGGCAAAGGUCCUGCUCAGGUUGUAGGCCUUAAAAGCUGUUAUGAAUCCUUGAUUCUUUGGUUAGAUCAAAAAGGUGGUGUUUGGAGGGAGAAACACUGCCUCGAUAUUGGGAUGAAGAUCAUAAACAAAAGGAGGAUGUCUGGGAGCAUUAUGAACAGCAAGCAAAAUAUUGAAAGAAAUGGAAAUUCCUGUCAAAUUCGAAGGGGCCUCACACAGCCAAAACAAUAUUGAAAAAGAAGAACAAAUUUAGAGGACUCACAUUUCUCAAUUUCGAAACUUAUUAGAGAGCUACAGUAUUCAAAACAGUGUGGUACAGGAAUAAAGAUAGAUAUGUAGAUCUAUGGAAUAGAAAUGAAUUCAAGCAUAUGGACAAGUGAGUCUUCACAAAUGUGCCCAGGAUCAUUCAGUGGGGAAAGUAUGGCCUUUUCAACAAAUGUUGCUUCAAACUGAAUGUCCACAUGCAAAAGAAUGAAGUUAGACUCUUCUCUCACAUUAUAUAGAAAAAUUAACUCAACGCAGCCAAAGACUUAAGUAUGAAAGCUAAAUCCAUAAAACUGUUAAAAGAAAUCAUAGGAGUAAAUCUUCAUGACCUUGCAUUUGGAAAUGAAAUGUCCAGAAUAGAUAAAUGAUGAGUAGUACAGCACAUUUUGGGGGAGUAAUGAAAAUGUUUUGCAACUUUAUAGAGGUAGUGAUUGCACAACAUUGUGAAUGUACUAAAUGCCAAUGAAUUGUACACUUUAAAGUGAUUAAUUUCUUUAUGUGGAUUUCACCUCAAUGAAAAAUAAAAAGCAUAUAAAUAACAGAGCCUGGUGCUCACAAAGGGCUGAGAAUAGUGCCUGUUCCCAUGAGCCAGACUGGAAAACCUCAAGAUUCACAAGGCAUUAGAAUUUACAGAAAGGUGUUGUCUCAGGAGGGGAAAUAAUUAACCUCAUACUGAGUAAAACUUCUGUUUUGCUACCCAACAAAGCAAGACUCAAAUGGAUAAAAUGUUUUCCGAGGAAUUUAAUUGUAGUAAGGAAUAAAGCUCAAGAAUACUUAUAGGAGAACAAAUAUAUAUAGUACACAACAAACAUAAAAUUAAUAAUGUCCAGAAUCCAGUGAAAAAUUACAAGGCAUGCAAAGAAAACAUGACCCUCGAUGAGGAGAAAAAUAAAUUAAUCAUCAACCUAGACCAGCCAGAUGUUAGCAUUAGCAGAUAGAAUUAAAAGUUAUUAUUAUGGCAGAAUUAAAAACUGUAACAGUAUAUCAUAUGAUGAGAGUUAAGCAGAGAUAUGGAGGAUAUAAGACAAUAUCCAAAUUGAACUCCUAGAGACAAAAAAUAUAAUGUCUGAGAUGAAAAUACACUAGAUGGGAUUAAUGGAAAAUUAAACAUUGCAGAGGAAGAUAUUAGUGAAUUGAAGAUAUAGCAACACAAACUAUACAAAGACACAUUGAGAAAAGAAAGUUUUUAAAAAAUGAACAAAGUAUCAAUGAAUUGUGGGACAAUUAUAGAUGGCCUAAUAUAUGUG
This 1546-nucleotide long non-coding RNA is filed under the name Equus caballus (horse). RNAcentral describes it as "lncRNA (ENSECAG00000057847.1)". Lineage: Eukaryota; Metazoa; Chordata; Mammalia; Perissodactyla; Equidae. The record is from RNAcentral.